AUGAGCGAGAAUAAUCCCAAAACCCCUCUUCCACCGUCUUCAACCAAAUAUUCACGAAACAAAACCCACAUCAACCCACCGGAAACAGCAAUUCCAGAUACCGCAACCCUAAGAGAUCAAUGGAAAUUCGCCGUCAGACAGUACAGUAAAUGGGUGAAAAUCCCAUACCCUCUUUCAACUCCAAUAACAACAAACCUUCUUCAUCUCAUCAAGACAAGGAUAAACCUCCCAAACCCCACUGAUUUCAACCUUUCUUUUCGACCCCAUUCACUGGAAUGA
This is a non-coding RNA of Vicia faba (fava bean), 279 nucleotides long. The record is from the annotation of a GenBank genome assembly. NCBI's taxonomy places the organism in Eukaryota, Viridiplantae, Streptophyta, Magnoliopsida, Fabales, Fabaceae.